RNAcentral lists this ribosomal RNA (497 nucleotides) under uncultured bacterium. Its description in RNAcentral is "partial 16S ribosomal RNA". It matches the Rfam family "Bacterial small subunit ribosomal RNA", at positions 28 to 507 of the family's 1533-position model. The record is from RNAcentral.
GAUGAACGCUGGCGGCGUGCCUAAUACAUGCGAGUCGAGCGAACAGACGAGGAGCUUGCUCCUCUGACGUUAGCGGCGGACGGGUGAGUAACACGUGGAUAACCUACCUAUAAGACUGGGAUAACUUCGGGAAACCGGAGCUAAUACCGGAUAAUAUAUUGAACCGCAUGGUUCAAUAGUGAAAGACGGUUUUGCUGUCACUUAUAGAUGGAUCCGCGCCGCAUUAGCUAGUUGGUAAGGUAACGGCUUACCAAGGCAACGAUGCGUAGCCGACCUGAGAGGGUGAUCGGCCACACUGGAACUGAGACACGGUCCAGACUCCUACGGGAGGCAGCAGUAGGGAAUCUUCCGCAAUGGGCGAAAGCCUGACGGAGCAACGCCGCGUGAGUGAUGAAGGUCUUCGGAUCGUAAAACUCUGUUAUUAGGGAAGAACAAAUGUGUAAGUAACUAUGCACGUCUUGACGGUCCCUAAUCAGAAAGCCACGGCUAACUACGUG